GAGCCUGUUUCACUGCGUGCUCCGCUGAACCGUUGGGGAAACAGGAAGUUGGGUUGUCUUCGGGAGGAUGGACUACAUGAAUCCGGUGGCCGCUGACACCGAGAUGCAUGAGCGUCUCCACGCAGGGCUGAAUAGCUAGAGAAGGUCUCGCUCAAGCCCUGUCCAUGGUGCUGAAGCACAGCCAGCGCCACACAACUCGGAUGUUUUCAACCACAACAGGAUUUCUGCCAAAACUAUUAUCAGUAAACACACCUGUCAGUUCCACAAAGUUGUCCAUGAGCCACUGAUGGACGUGUGCGCAGUCGUGCUGGUCGUUGAGGGUGAAGAGGUUGGACGGGCCGGUCCGUGUGUGUCGGUGUCUGGGCUGAUGUGGGUUCAGACUGUUGGGUUUUUGGGUUAUGGCAUCAGUACUGCUCCACGUGUUUGGCCUCGCGGUCGAUGGCCUUCAUCUUACCCCUCACCACGCUGAUCCAGGAGCGCAGAGACAGCCGGGCUUGAUCCUGAUCGCUGUAGCAGUGACUGUGGAGGAACAGAUCCUGCAUCAGUCUUGCGCCGCUAUGAAAGGAGCAGCCAGAAGUGCAUCGGUGUCUUUCACUAAAUGAAUACCAUUGAAUGAAGAGAGGACAGUAACGACGCCUGAACAAAAGCAUGCGGGGUGUGUGAGGUUAUUCUGCAAACACUCGACGGACAGAUGCUGAAAUCCCUUAAUUUCCAGCGCAGCGCUGGCCUGCAUUAAAGCGCUUUCUUCUCCAACCAUCACAGCUGUUCUUGACCACCAGCUCACAGCGUUCUGGCCUUAUCAGCAGCUGACAGGCCUCUAUUGUGGCCAGUGUCUGACUACUAAGUUUAGGGGCCAAGCAGGGGCCAAGCAUCUUUAUCGGUCCUCUAUGGUCCUGCGUUUCACCCCAUCCUCAGGGGUGAUAAAGGACAAGAGAGCGAGCGUGAGGGGGGCCAAUGGUUUUGGCUUGACAGAUAAGCGCUGUCGGCCAUGGCCUCCACCUUCUCCAUUAGACAGGCGGCCUGUACAGGGGCUGACCGGCCAUAAGUUUAGUGGACACUAACUGCCUCAUUAGUCAAGUCAUUAGCGACAGCAAACACCAAUUGCGGCCUAGAGAACAGUGGCAGGGCUAAUUAAAGGGCCAGCGCGUGACCUCCGCACACUGCCAGCUCUAGACAGCUGCGUGCCCGCGGUGCCUGCCAAAGCAGCAGGAGUUAACACACACACACACACAACCGCAGAGCGACCCCUGGUUGCCAGGCAGUUAUCAGCUUUCAGGAAACAAGAACGGCCUUAAAUCGCAGCUUUGUUUGGUCAAACGCUUUGCAAGAAGCUGCAUCCAAACCCCUGACAUCUCCUGAUAUCCUCUCGAAGAAAUUACAUUCUGAAAAGUGAAAUCCUUCAGAGACUAAAGACCUAAAUCAUUGUCUAAAAACAGUGUUUCCCAACCUUUUUAUGUACACUAUUGUUAAAAAGUUUUCUUUAGGAAAGAAAUUAGUACUUUUAUUCAGCAAGGAUGCAUUAAAUUGAUCAAAAUGACAGGAAAGAAAUUUAUUACAUUACAAUUUUUAAAAAAAUGAAUGCUUUUCUUUUGAAAUUUCUAUUCAAGAAUCCUGAAAAAAAAAUAUGAAGCAGCACAACUGUUUUCAAUAUUGAUAAUAUUAGGAAAUGUUUCUUGAGCAGCAAAUCAGCAUAUUAGAAUGUUGGAUCAUUUGGAUCAUGUGACACUGAAGACUGGAGUAAUGAUGCUGAAAAUUCAGCUUUGAUCACAGCAAUAAAUUACAUUUUUGAUUACAGUUUGAAAUUGUAAUAAUUUUUCUACAAUAUUUUUAAUUUUACUGUAUUUUUGAUCAAACAAAUGCAGCUUUCCUGAGCAUAAGAGACUCCUUUCGAAAAUCUUACUGACCACAAACCUUUCAGUGGUGGUGAACAUUGCAUUUUUGACCUAAUGGUACAUUUGUUUGUAAAUGAAAUCUAGAAAGGAAAUGUCAUUUACAGUCCUUAUAAAGGGACAUUCAAAUAGUCUUGUUUCAAAAUCAUCUGCAUUUUCUACAAUAUAAAAAUUUUUCUUACCAGAAUGUGGCCAUGAUUUUUUUUACUCUUUAGAACUAAUGCCUGGUUGGGAAUCACUGUUUCAAAAUAUUUUAAUAAAGGCAAUCAAAUAUUUUAUUUGAAGAAUCUGUUUCUCAAAUUCAGUGGCUUAAAACACAAAGAGAUCUCUGUCCUGAGGCAGAAGGAUCCAGAAUGCAGGUAUUAAUUGGCGUGUGUUGGGCUGAGUGUUAUUAUAUAAAGCCGUGAGCUCAGAUUUCAUGCAAUCAUUGUUUUUCGCUCAGAUCCCUGAGGGUCACUCUCACUAAUUAUAAUCAUGCUUGAGAUGAUAUCCCUCCACCCCCAGUCCAAAAAAAAAAAAAAACCUCUUUUAGACACAAAUAUCUUGCUGUUUCUUCAAAAAGAAAUCAUAAAUGCUAUUUAGGGCUUGAUUAUCAG
Onychostoma macrolepis is the source of this 2485-nucleotide long non-coding RNA. RefSeq lists it as uncharacterized. NCBI's taxonomy places the organism in Eukaryota, Metazoa, Chordata, Actinopteri, Cypriniformes, Cyprinidae. The transcript is spliced from 6 exons. The record is from RefSeq and is a predicted model, not a curated record.